UCGAGAAUUUUUCACAAUGGGGGAAACCCUGAUGGAGCGACGCCGCGUGGAGGAUGAAGGCCUUUGGGUUGUAAACUCCUGUCAUGUGGGAACAAGAAAGUGAUAGUACCACAAGAGGAAGGGACGGCAAACUCUGUGCCAGCAGCCGCGGUAAUACAGAGGUCCCAAGCGUUGUUCGGAUUUAUUGGGCGUAAAGGGUGCGUAGGCGGUGGUGUAAGUCUAGUGUGAAAUCUCGGAGCUUAACUUCGAAACUGCACUGGAUACUGCACUGCUAGAGGAUUGUAGAGGAGACUGGAAUUCACGGUGUAGCAGUGAAAUGCGUAGAUAUCGUGAGGAAGGCCAGUGGCGAAGGCGAGUCUCUGGGCAAUUCCUGACGCUGAGGCACGAAGGCCAGGGGAGCAAACGG
Molecule: ribosomal RNA, 406 nt
Filed under: uncultured bacterium
Lineage: Bacteria
Description: bacterial SSU rRNA
Rfam family: Bacterial small subunit ribosomal RNA
Source: RNAcentral